This is a long non-coding RNA of Cavia porcellus (domestic guinea pig), 1237 nucleotides long. RefSeq lists it as uncharacterized. The record is from RefSeq and is a predicted model, not a curated record. Lineage: Eukaryota; Metazoa; Chordata; Mammalia; Rodentia; Caviidae. The transcript is spliced from 2 exons.
CUUGAGCUCCCUGGGCUCCAGGGCUGGGGGGGACCAGCAGGCGAGGGGGGCUGUUGGGAGCCACAGCCCCGAGCCCGGUCGCCUCACUUGGCGGACGUGAGGCCUGUAGUAAAGAACAAAGCCUGAGGUAGAUUACCCCUCCCAUCGAGCACGUUAGUUUCCUGCUUACCGCGUAAGCAACCCGCUCAACAAUAUAGUCUGCCUGGCAACUGAUGAUGUUAGCCAAUCAGCCUGCCUUGCUUACUUUAACAUGAUUGGACACUGUAUCCGUAUAUAUACUGGUGCCACCCCUGGGGGAGAAGAAGAAGCCCGGAAGUAGAAGCCCAGAAGGAGCCGCGGGGAGCGGACCAAAGGAGGCUUCGGCUGGGAGCGAUCCCAGGGCAGGCUGUACGGAGAAGGAAAAUAAAAGAAAAGGUUUUAAAUAGCGCCUUCAUGAAACCACCUUCAAAUUAGCCUAGGAGCCCGUGCCAUCUGCCCGCCGCAGCCCUGCCUGCCUGACCUUGGCUCCGUGCAUUCCCAGGGAGGAAGGAGAGCGUCACCGAAAGAGGAUGUGGGAGAGCAGCGCCCACAGAGCCCACGUGUCCUGUGAGGACCUGAAAACUGAUUCUUUUGAAACUGCUCAUGCCUCUGGACUGUCCUGCGUCCCCAGGGGCUGCUAAGAUUUGGUAACCGCCAACCUGACAUCUGACCGUGGACUUCUCUCCAGCACCCCCUUACUGCAAAGCAACACUGGGAACCAAAAAUGAUUAGAGAGAGGCAGGGAGCGUCUCACCAUGCUGGGGGAGCGGUGGUAGGUGACCCCACAGCACCCCGUCAGAGGAAGUGGAUCCCCGCAUCCCUGCCCGGACCUGAGGUUUGGGAAGGGGCUGCUUGGGGGACACCGAGCCCCACAGCUGUGUUUGAGCCUGGUGCCCCACCUCCCCUGCCCAAGCACAGCCUGUCUCGUUCCUUUCUCUGCCAGGCUGAUCUAGAAAUUCCAGACAACCCAGUGAGAGUUCUUGAUUGCAGCAGCGGGCACCCGACCUACAAUAACAUGUGAAAAGAUAGGGGCUCCCUUCCAGGGCAGCAGCUGCAGGGUGAAGUUGAAAUUGAAGCUAGAAUGUGCACCAGACCCACCUGCCGCCAGUAGGGUUACUCCUCCAGGGCAGUACAGAUACGAGCAUCUCGGUCUCCGUCUUUGUCCCCUCCGUGUUCAGGUAGUUAAUACGCAUCCUGCAUUAAACUUUGCUUUGUGGAA